Molecule: ribosomal RNA, 468 nt
Filed under: uncultured bacterium
Lineage: Bacteria
Description: bacterial SSU rRNA
Rfam family: Bacterial small subunit ribosomal RNA
Source: RNAcentral
CGCUGGCGGCGUGCCUAACACAUGCAAGUCGAGCGAGGAGAUUCCUUCGGGAUGAUCCGUAGCGGCGGACGGGUGAGUAACACGUGGGCAACCUGCCUCAUAGAGAGGAAUAGCCUUCCGAAAGGGAGAUUAAUACCUCAUAACAUUGCAGUUUCGCAUGGAACAGCAAUUAAAGGAGUAAUCCGCUAUGAGAUGGGCCCGCGGCGCAUUAGCUAGUUGGUGAGGUAACGGCUCACCAAGGCGACGAUGCGUAGCCGACCUGAGAGGGUGAUCGGCCACAUUGGGACUGAGACACGGCCCAGACUCCUACGGGAGGCAGCAGUGGGGAAUAUUGCACAAUGGGGGAAACCCUGAUGCAGCAACGCCGCGUGAGUGAUGACGGCCUUCGGGUUGUAAAGCUCUGUCUUCAGGGACGAUAAUGACGGUACCUGAGGAGGAAGCCACGGCUAACUACGUGCCAGCCGCGGC